Molecule: ribosomal RNA, 774 nt
Filed under: uncultured Neocallimastigales
Lineage: Eukaryota; Fungi; Neocallimastigomycota; Neocallimastigomycetes; Neocallimastigales
Description: partial large subunit ribosomal RNA
Rfam family: Eukaryotic large subunit ribosomal RNA
Source: RNAcentral
UACGACUACAUAUCAGGCAUAUCAAUAAGCGGAGGAAAAGAAACUAACAAGGAUUCCCUAGUAACGGCGAGUGAAGCGGGAAGAGCUCAAAUUUGAAAUCUUAAAGGUUUCCCUUGACGAAUUGUAGUUUAUAGAAGUGUUUUCUGUAGUGGAGUUCGGUAAAAGUUCUUUGGAAUAGGACAUCAUAGAGGGUGAGAAUCCCGUAUUUGACCAUUACUUUCCAGCUGUGUGAUACACUUUCAAAGAGUCGGAUUGUUUGGGAAUGCAGUCCAAAAUGGGUGGUAAAUUUCAUCUAAAGCUAAAUAUUGGCGAGAGACCGAUAGCGAACAAGUACCGUGAGGGAAAGAUGAGAAGAACUUUGAGAAGAGAGUUAAACAGUACGUGAAAUUGUCAAAAGGGAAGCGUUUGACACCAGUGUUGUUUUCUCGAAAAUCAAUUAAAAAGUAUGGGAUUUUGUAUUGUUAAGACCUUAUCAGCUUACGGUACUUUUUUCUUAUUCUUUUUAAUGCACUUUUCGUUUAACAAGUCAACAUCAAUUUCUUUUGUUGUAAAAGAGUCAUUGGAAGGUGGCUUUCACUUCGGUGAAAGUGUUUAUAGCCUUUGGCUUCUGCAAUCGGAGAGAUUGAGGUCUGCAGCGUAGAUCCUUCGGGGUUAGAUACGUAGAUGCUAAGUUAUAGUUUUUCAUAGACAACUUGUUGACUAUGAUUAAUCAUGUAGCUUACUCGUUUGCGCUAUUUUACCUACGCUUAGGAUGUUGAAUCUGUGCGAGACUAC